AUAUAUAUAUACAUAUAUGGGAAAAGAUGGGAUUAGCCCACUAGCUCGUAUGAACAUAUGAGCCCAAUGGCCCAGAUUGAAUCUAGGCCGAUCUGAAGAUCACGGAUGUCUGGUAGUGCUUGAAUUGUAGUUUUUUUUCUACAGAUCCAAAUCACUUGAAAGUUUAGGUGUGCGUUCUUCUCAUCAAGGCGCACCUAAUAAAAAAAUAAAAAAAAUUAUCUGCAAAAAAUAAAAUGACUAAAAUACCCCCUGAAACUUUUCGGGGGUAUUUGGUCAAUUUAUUUCAUGUAAAAUAUUUGUUUGAUAUUUUUCGAAGAUUCACCUAUUUUUGAUGAAUACACGCCUAAAAUUUCAAGUGAUUUGGAUUUGUGGAAAAUUCAAACACUACCGAACAUCCGUGAUCGUUAGAUCGGCCCAGAAUUAAUCUAGGACGUUGAGCUCAUAUGUUCAUAUGAGCUAGUGGACUAAUCCCAUCUUUUCCCUAUAUAUAUAUAUAUAU
This 499-nucleotide microRNA precursor is filed under the name Amborella trichopoda. RNAcentral describes it as "miR8552d stem-loop (atr-MIR8552d)". Lineage: Eukaryota; Viridiplantae; Streptophyta; Magnoliopsida; Amborellales; Amborellaceae. The record is from miRBase by way of RNAcentral.